Molecule: ribosomal RNA, 325 nt
Filed under: uncultured eukaryote
Lineage: Eukaryota
Description: partial 18S ribosomal RNA
Rfam family: Eukaryotic small subunit ribosomal RNA
Source: RNAcentral
CCCUUAGAUGUUCUGGGCUGCACGCGCGCUACACUGAAGCGUUCAACGAGUAUUCACCUUGCCCGGGAGGGUUGGGUAAUCUUUUGAAAACGCUUCGUGAUGGGGAUAGAUUAUUGCAAUUAUUAAUCUUCAACGAGGAAUUCCUAGUAAGCGCGAGUCAUCAGCUCGUGCUGAUUACGUCCCUGCCCUUUGUACACACCGCCCGUCGCUCCUACUGAUUGAGUGAUCCGGUGAAUAAUUCGGACUGCAGCACUGCUUGGUCUCCAGGCUUUGCAGCGGAAAGUUUAGUGAACCUUAUCACUUAGAGGAAGGAGAAGUCGUANCA